This is a long non-coding RNA of Equus quagga, 889 nucleotides long. RefSeq lists it as uncharacterized. The record is from RefSeq and is a predicted model, not a curated record. The transcript has 2 exons. Lineage: Eukaryota; Metazoa; Chordata; Mammalia; Perissodactyla; Equidae.
CACUGAUCCGUGCUGCAGCGUGGAUGAGCCAGGACACCUUUAUGAAAAAGCCACAGGGAUCUUUCAACUGGUGGACAGCGAGGAAGAAAGCAAAUGAGGAGGAAAUGAUGUUGUCAAGAGCCACAUCCUGCUCCCCCUGCUCCUGACCAAGUCCGCUUUCCGGGGGAGGGGGGAUGCUCUCUGGGUGAGUUCUGCCCAGAAGGGGCCUCUCCCAGCGUCCGGGCUCCUCUGACGGCUCUGCCAUAGGAGGGAAUGGGGACACUCCAUGCUGCUCUGCAACGCCAGCUCCGUGUUUGCGGGAAGGGCAAAGGAUGCAGCCAUCCGCUGUCCUCUGCCCUCCGCUUGCCCGCUCUGCAGAGCACAUAGCCCUGCUCGCGCCCAGGCUUCUUUCGGGAGAAUUCCGGGCGCGGCCCUGCAGAGCCGCGGGGGAGCGACAGCAGCGAACGAGAGUGGAGGGGAGCGACCCACCCCUGCGCCACCUGCCCUCAGCAGGGUGGGCACAAACAAGGAGGGAGAAAGCGGAGCGUGGUCAGCACUUGUGCAAACCGAGCCUUUUCUGGGGGCGGGAGGCGGAUUCUGAUGAAGGUUUGCAGAGAUGUGGCCUCAGCAGCAGAGCAGCAGCAAUGUGGGCUGGUUUUAAGAAGCACUAAAUCUCCGUGUCAGCUGGAAGCCCGCUCCUCUGCCGCGGGCUGGACGGCCCCGCGUGGGCGGCGCGGCUCCUGGCGGCGGCCCCGGCGUGGGCGGUGUUCUCCCAACGGAGUUCAGGGCCCCGCCGGGUCACCCACCCGGACUCGGUCCCUCCUCCCCGGGACGGCUGCGCCCCGUGCCUGGGAGGACACACGCCGCGCACACAGACACCACACACACGCACGACACCACACAUCCCACA